CGGGGCAUGGUGUAACGGCUAACAUACGCGUUUCGGGUACGCGCGACUCCCGGUUCGAAUCCGGGUGCCCCGA
This 73-nucleotide transfer RNA is filed under the name Patescibacteria group bacterium. RNAcentral describes it as "tRNA-Pro". It matches the Rfam family "tRNA". From Rfam's summary of the family: Transfer RNA (tRNA) molecules are approximately 80 nucleotides in length. The record is from RNAcentral.